UGGGGAAUAUUGGACAAUGGGGGCAACCCUGAUCCAGCAAUGCCGCGUGUGUGAAGAAGGUCUUCGGAUUGUAAAGCACUUUCGACGGGGACGAUGAUGACGGUACCCGUAGAAGAAGCCCCGGCUAACUUCGUGCCAGCAGCCGCGGUAAUACGAAGGGGGCUAGCGUUGCUCGGAAUGACUGGGCGUAAAGGGCGUGUAGGCGGUUUACACAGUCAGAUGUGAAAUCCCCGGGCUUAACCUGGGAGCUGCAUUUGAUACGUGUAGACUAGAGUGUGAGAGAGGGUUGUGGAAUUCCCAGUGUAGAGGUGAAAUUCGUAGAUAUUGGGAAGAACACCGGUGGCGAAGGCGGCAACCUGGCUCAUGACUGACGCUGAGGCGCGAAAGCGUGGGGAGCAAACAGGAUUAGAUACCCUGGUAGUC
Molecule: ribosomal RNA, 423 nt
Filed under: uncultured bacterium
Lineage: Bacteria
Description: partial 16S ribosomal RNA
Rfam family: Bacterial small subunit ribosomal RNA
Source: RNAcentral